GGCGGACGGGUGAGUAACGCGUAAGAACUUGCCCUUUAGACUGGGAUAACAGAGGGAAACUUCUGAUAAUACUGGAUAAGUUAGUAUAUCGCAUGAUAUGCAAAUGAAAGCUACGGCACUAAAGGAGAGCUUUGCGUCCUAUUAGCUAGUUGGUAAGGUAAGAGCUUACCAAGGCGAUGAUCAGUAGGGGUUCUGAGAGGAAGGUCCCCCACAUUGGAACUGAGACACGGUCCAAACUCCUACGGGAGGCAGCAGCG
Molecule: ribosomal RNA, 257 nt
Filed under: uncultured Prevotella sp.
Lineage: Bacteria; Pseudomonadati; Bacteroidota; Bacteroidia; Bacteroidales; Prevotellaceae
Description: partial 16S ribosomal RNA
Rfam family: Bacterial small subunit ribosomal RNA
Source: RNAcentral